CUUACUGGACACAAAAUCCUACAAAAAUCUACUCUUACUGGAGUUCAUCUUAUACUACAAUGAAUCUCCGUAUUACAGAAACCGAAGAUGAAACUAAUUGCAAAUUGGGCUUAGAACUCACAUUAGCCAGCUACUACGCACAACCUAUAAAGUAGCCAGGAGUCAAACACUCUGCGUUAGCCAGGAAUCAAACAUCCUCUAUCAAGACCUUUCGCUGUGGCCAGGACGUGCAAACAUGGCCAGAUGUCCCUUUCUCCCCCACUGUACACAACAGUACGAAAAAGUGAAUUGGCACUGUUGCUGCCGUUAGCCUCCGUUUGCCCCUACCGGACGAUGAACGGUCGUAGAUAGGAGGAGUGGUAUGCUCGAGAGCACCCUCGACUUUCCCAGCAAAAUAACAAAAUAGUCCAAGCAGAAGUAAGUCAAUGUCAGUCCCUGAUGUGCGGAGCCCGAUCCCCGAACUGCACUAACCUUGAGUUAUUUAUUUUUUAGGACAGUAAAAUUGGACACCCUGUAAGACCUCUCAGGCCAUCAAUGUUUUCGGUCGUUGGAUCUACCGACACCCUGUGAGACCUCUCAGGCCACCAAUGUUUUUGGCCGUCGGAUCUACCAUGUGAGCCCUUGCGAGGCCUGCUGGCUACUCCUCUCCUCGUGGGCCUUGAGACCCAGCCCCAGGCAAGGCCACCCUCUCAAAAGAAAUAACCUAGCCCUCAUCCCUCUUCCUAAAAAAAAAGAGCCCUGAUCCCGUAGCCGUGACCCGGACGAAGCGGUGCGGGCGACGGGUCAAGGCCGCAAGGCGCGCCGUCCGUCCUCCGCUCCACUGCGUCCCGCCGGCCGGCCGCCUCCCUCUCUGUUCGCCUUCCCCUUCGGCGCGAAGGGAAGAGAAGGUUUCCAGCCGGCGGCCGGUGCUCCCGACUGUCCAGCCCCGUAGUUGAGGUGAGGCGACGCCACCCGCAAAAAAAAAGAGAGAGAGAGAGAGAGAGAGGUGAGGCGACAUAGGACCCUCAACCUAUUCGACGGAAUGGGCAAGAAAGCUGCGCCGAGCAGGAAGGACCGCUUCAGCGACCUCCCCGACAAAGUCCUCCGUCAUGUGCUCUCCUUCCUGCCAAUUGAAACGGCAGCUCCCUGAUCAUUAUAUAUUCAUCCACGACGUCCUCAUUUGCAAGGGAAGCUGUGAGUGAGUAGCAUGGCACCUCUACCUACGCUAUCGGAAAAACGUCAUUUGCCGGGUAUCCGUGGCUUUUCCGUGAGCAAUCCUUCGGUCGAUCGGUUGCCAGAGAUACGCUAUGCGUGCAAAAAAGCCUACCGCAAAGAAACGGCCUAUGCAAAGGGCACCAACGGCCCACGGCAGUCGGCAAAGAAACGCCCAUGAAAAAGAAGAGCAAAGAAACCCACUCGGCUAGCUAGCACAACGAACAUCUACACAUCGUUCCACUAUGAAAACAAUGUUACCCUAUGAAAAAAACAGUACUUACACAUUGUUCCACUCUAGUACUAGGAAAGAUAAAACUGGUACAAGUAACAAAGUGAAUUAAACUUGCCUAAAAAAACAAAGUGAAUUAAACUAAAGGGAAAUAAAAAAAGAAACAAAACAAGAAAGAAAAGAAAAAACAACGAGAAAAAUGAUCCUAUAAUACUAGGAAAGAAAAACGAUCCUUGAUGAGUUGUAGAAUGGUGAGCGUGUUGGGGAGCCUCAAAACCUGUUUCCUUUUCUGAUCCGAAAAACUAGGGUUUUGGAACAAGGAGCCGGAAACCAAUGGGCCGGCUCUUACAGCCCAAUAGUGCGACUAAGGCAAGGCUUCCACCUAAAAUUUGGAAGGUAAGCUUGCAGUCUUCUUCUCCCGCUCCCCUCCUCUCACCACGCGACGGCGCGACCCCCUGCGAAGACGAACAAAGCGACGACGCGCUCCCCGGCCGCCUCCCUUCCAUUCCUCCGUCGUUUGCCUUUCCCAUCGUCAGCGAGAAGGCUCCCCAGCCGGCCGGCGACCGGCGCUUCCUGACUGUCCGUGCCCCCAAGGUACGUACGUACGUAAGAUAUACUCACUCCAGAUAUUGCCGAUCCAGUAUGUUCUUUCUCUCCUGAGAUGAGAGAUCGAAAGGGAUAGGAAUUCCGGUGAUCAUUUCUUCAAUUCUCGCUUGCACAGAAUCGGUUCCGGCCGCUUGCACGGAAUGGACAACGUUAACGUGAAGGCAGCGAAGGGCGCCGAGGGCAGCAAGGACCGCUUCGGCGAACUCCCACACGAAAUCCUCCGGCACGUGAUCUCCUUCCUGCCGGGGGUAGACACUCUGCGGACUUGCCUGAUCGACACCCGCUGGCUCGGCCUCUUGAGGAGCGCCACCAGCCUCGACUUCUCCUUUGGCUACGGCG
This 2368-nucleotide long non-coding RNA is filed under the name Brachypodium distachyon (stiff brome). RNAcentral describes it as "long non-coding RNA (BDIS_LNC004036)". Lineage: Eukaryota; Viridiplantae; Streptophyta; Magnoliopsida; Poales; Poaceae. The record is from RNAcentral.